AUUGAACGCUGGCGGCAUGCCUUACACAUGCAAGUCGAACGGUAACGGGCCUUCGGGUGCCGACGAGUGGCGAACGGGUGAGUAAUGCAUCGGAACGUACCUUUCAGUGGGGGAUAACGUAGCGAAAGUUACGCUAAUACCGCAUAUUCUGUGAGCAGGAAAGCAGGGGAUCGCAAGACCUUGUGCUGAUUGAGCGGCCGAUGUCAGAUUAGCUAGUUGGUGAGGUAAAGGCUCACCAAGGCGACGAUCUGUAGCGGGUCUGAGAGGAUGAUCCGCCACACUGGAACUGAGACACGGUCCAGACUCCUACGGGAGGCAGCAGAGGGGAAUUUUGGACAAUGGGGGCAACCCUGAUCCAGCCAUGCCGCGUGAGUGAAGAAGGCCUUCGGGUUGUAAAGCUCUUUCGGCCGGGAAGAAAUCGUAUGGGUUAAUACCCUGUGCGGAUGACGGUACCGGCAUAAGAAGCACCGGCUAACUACGUGCCAGCAGCCGCCGUAA
RNAcentral lists this ribosomal RNA (498 nucleotides) under uncultured bacterium. Its description in RNAcentral is "partial 16S ribosomal RNA". It matches the Rfam family "Bacterial small subunit ribosomal RNA", at positions 30 to 523 of the family's 1533-position model. The record is from RNAcentral.